UACGUAGGGUGCAAGCGUUAAUCGGAAUUACUGGGCGUAAAGCGUGCGCAGGCGGUCUUACAAGACAGGUGUGAAAUCCCCGGGCCUUAACCUGGGAACUGCACUUGUGACUGCAAGGCUGGAGUACGGCAGAGGGGGAUGGAAUUCCGCGUGUAGCAGUGAAAUGCGUAGAUAUGCGGAGGAACACCGAGUGGCGAAGGCAAUCCCCUGGGCCUGUACUGACGCUCAUGCACGAAAGCGUGGGGAGCAAACAGG
This 255-nucleotide ribosomal RNA is filed under the name uncultured bacterium. RNAcentral's name for it is "partial 16S ribosomal RNA". It matches the Rfam family "Bacterial small subunit ribosomal RNA", at positions 524 to 776 of the family's 1533-position model. The record is from RNAcentral.